Molecule: transfer RNA, 455 nt
Filed under: uncultured Flavobacteriaceae bacterium
Lineage: Bacteria; Pseudomonadati; Bacteroidota; Flavobacteriia; Flavobacteriales; Flavobacteriaceae
Description: 16S-23S ribosomal RNA intergenic spacer
Rfam family: tRNA (bases 232-305)
Source: RNAcentral
AGAGAAAGACGACUGAAUUUGAAGAAAUUCAACAAAAAAUGUGUUUUACUUAUGCUGUCCAUCUUAUUUUUAUAAUCUAUCGUUAGAGUCUCGUAGCUCAGCUGGUUGGAGCGCUACACUGAUAAUGUAGAGGUCGGCAGUUCGAGCCUGCCCGAGACUACUUUUUGAUAGAUCGUUUAUGGAAAAUUAGGGCUGGGAAACUUUUUUUUUCCGUUCUAUUUUUUUCAGAAUGGGGGAUUAGCUCAGCUGGCUAGAGCGCCUGCCUUGCACGCAGGAGGUCAUCGGUUCGACUCCGAUAUUCUCCACAAAGGUUUUGUAAUAUAUAAACCGUACGUUCAUUGACAUAUUGAAUUAUUUAAGAUACAUAAAAUAAAAGGUAUAAAUUAUUAAUCGAGCCGAUUAAUAAUUUGUACGAGCAAAGUAAAAAUUACAAUUUUAAGAGAAAGUAAAGUUAC